GAAUUCGCCCUUAGAGUUUGAUCCUGGCUCAGGACGAACGCUGGCGGCGUGCCUAACACAUGCAAGUCGAGCGGAGACAGUGAGUAGCUUGCUAUGAGCUGUUUUAGCGGCGGACGGGUGAGUAACGCGUGAGCAACCUUUCCCAGACAGGGGAAUAACACACCGAAAGGUGUACUAAUACCGCAUAAGACCACGGGAUCACAUGGUUCUGGGGUAAAAGAAUUAUCGGUUUGGGGUGGGCUCGCGUCCGAUUAGGUAGUUGGUGAGGUAACGGCCCACCAAGCCGACGAUCGGUAGCCGACCUGAGAGGGUGAUCGGCCACAUUGGGACUGAGACACGGCCCAAACUCCUACGGGAGGCAGCAGUGGGGAAUAUUGCACAAUGGGCGAAAGCCUGAUGCAGCAACGCCGCGUGAGGGAAGACGGUUUUCGGAUUGUAAACCUCUGUUUUCGGUGACGAACAAAUGACGGUAACCGAGUAGGAAGCCACGGCUAACUACGUGCCAGCAGCCGCGGUAAUACGUAGGGAGCAAGCGUUGUCCGGAUUUACUGGGUGUAAAGGGUGCGUAGGCGGCUUUGCAAGUCAGAUGUGAAAUCUAUGGGCUCAACCCAUAAACUGCAUUUGAAACUGUAGAGCUUGAGUGAAGUAGAGGCAGGCGGAAUUCCCCGUGUAGCGGUGAAAUGCGUAGCGAUGGGGAGGAACACCAGUGGCGAAGGCGGCCUGCUGGGCUUUAACUGACGCUGAGGCACGAAAGCGUGGGUAGCAAACAGGAUUAGAUACCCUGGUAGUCCACGCUGUAAACGAUGAUUACUAGGUGUUGGAGGAUUGACCCCUUCAGUGCCGCAGUUAACACAAUAAGUAAUCCACCUGGGGAGUACGACCGCAAGGUUGAAACUCAAAGGAAUUGACGGGGGCCCGCACAAGCAGUGGAGUAUGUGGUUUAAUUCGAAGCAACGCGAAGAACCUUACCAGGUCUUGACAUCCGAUGCAUAGCGCAGAGAUGCGUGAAGUCCUUCGGGACAUCGAGACAGGUGGUGCAUGGUUGUCGUCAGCUCGUGUCGUGAGAUGUUGGGUUAAGUCCCGCAACGAGCGCAACCCUUAUUGCCAGUUACUACGCAAGAGGACUCUGGCGAGACUGCCGUUGACAAAACGGAGGAAGGUGGGGAUGACGUCAAAUCAUCAUGCCCUUUAUGACCUGGGCUACACACGUACUACAAUGGCGUUAAACAAAGAGAAGCAAGACCGCGAGGUGGAGCAAAACUCAAAAAUAACGUCUCAGUUCGGAUUGUAGUCUGCAACUCGACUACAUGAAGCUGGAAUCGCUAGUAAUCGCGAAUCAGAAUGUCGCGGUGAAUACGUUCCCGGGUCUUGCACACACCGCCCGUCA
This 1387-nucleotide ribosomal RNA is filed under the name uncultured bacterium. RNAcentral's name for it is "partial 16S ribosomal RNA". It matches the Rfam family "Bacterial small subunit ribosomal RNA". The record is from RNAcentral.